CAACUCGCUUCCCUCACACGCCUCUGUCUUCCUCUGGCCAGAUUCCAGAUCCCGCUCUCUCUGGCAGUACCGAAGAGCAGUCCUCCAGGACACUUGCCGUGCACAAGAUUCCUUCUUGUAUGUGAAUAUGACCUGGUUUCUGUUUGUGUGUGCGGCUAAAACAUCCAAACGAGAUCUGUUGCUUUCAAAGUUUAUUCCGAACUUUUUUUUUUCCUUUCAGCAAGUAAUCUCCGGCAGCGUUAGCCAACAAUUCAUCUAUUAAUAUCAGAAAAUAAAACCAGCUAUUAAGAUGCAGCGGGCGGUUAGGAGUGUGCAGCAGCAUCCGUCCCUCCACAGGCCUCUAUUUGCAUUGUAAAUUGCUUCAUUCUCACGCAAGACUCUUUAGCCUCCCUCUAUAGAGAUGUAUAAAGCCAACGGCAAUUUCCAGCGCAGGUUAAGGAGGAAGGAAAAAAAAUAUCCCAUUCUAUAGAAGAGGUGACAGCUGAUUCAGGGAUCUGCUCCUGAUCCUUUUGGGUUAGGCACCAUGAGCUUUUUACCAAGCGGUGGCAGCUUGAUUGCACAUAUCUUGUGCGUGUGUGUUUUAGGGGGAAGAUCCUCGAUUUCACAGGGCUUCUAGGCUGGGGAAGAGAAGAUGCCGUCUUGCUGGUGUGCUGCUGCCCCCGGUCUGAAAGAAGGAGAAAAGGGCCAUCAUUGGAGGGGCUUUCACAGCCAAAACGUGGACCAGCCCGGCAAGGUCAAAGGUUCGAGACCGCGGGAGACCAAGGUCUCCAGAUGGCUGAAACAUGAAUUGAAACAUCCUGGUUUUCUUGGGAAUAAACAAUCUCUGCUUAAGUCAGAAGUGAAAAGUUAUGAUUUUCCACAUAUUUGGAUCAGACUCAUGCUAUUCCAUAAAUGCAAAUAAUCAGCUUGGAAGAAGAGGGACUCUUAAAAAACAUUAGGGAUUUGAACACUAUAACCUGCCAUACAAAAGACGAAGGAGAGUUCUUCCAUGUAAGAAUUUCAAGACUGGAACAAAGUCAUAUUUUCUAAAUGUUUAAGGAACUAGAUUUCCAGGCCUUUCAAACAAUGGGAAUCCCUAGAUAAAUAUCUAAUCCAUUAGAAAGAUGCAAAUAGUUUACUGUAAGGCCACUGCACGGUGAGAUGUGCAUUCAUAUCUAUGGCUCCUGAUUGGCUAUUUCCUUCAGUAAAUCAAUGAAUAAUGUAAAACCUGAUUGCUGUAAAGUGGUGGAUUUUUUUAUUCCCUUCCCCCAUUCCUCCAUGACUCAAUAUAUUAAAGAAGUCUUACUCUCUCGAAAAUAGGUUGCGUUUCUUUUAUGAUUUUUUUUAAUGCUUAUUGUUAUUUUGGAGUAGUGGGGUGGGGCUACUGGUUUUGCAAAAUGAAAGUACUCCACUGGUUCAAUUAUGCUGACUAUGGGAGCUCCUUUCCCGAGACAGGGCCCUAAUUACUUGUGGCAAGGUGGGGAAGAAGGGUGCUGGGAAGAGUUGGGCACCAGAAGAGGGAGGAAACUGGAUCCGACCCUGCCAUUCUGGGCCCAAGGCAGCCACGGCUCCAAAAGAGCCUCCGGCCAUGGCCGUGACUUGACAGGGCCUCCGGUCUAACUUCUGAUCAAUACCACUGCUGCCCUGACCCCAUAAGACAGUCCCCCAUUCAAGCAGCGCCGAUACAUUUGCAAGAGAAAACGCCGCAGACACCUAUGCAAAUACAGUUCCCACCUCCCCGUGUUCCCUCAGACAAUUCCAGGCCACCGAAGGAAGGUCUUGCCUUCCUCCGCGGGGUCUGGGCUCCAGGCAAACUGCAGGGACCGGGAUCCGCUCAGAUACCAGAAGCAUCUGAAGCUGAAAUGCUCCAAGUCCCAAUAACUAACCAUGGUGGCUGUUAUCUUGAUGAAUCUGAACUUAGGAUAA
This 1905-nucleotide long non-coding RNA is filed under the name Felis catus (domestic cat). Its description in RNAcentral is "lncRNA (ENSFCAG00000048134.1)". The record is from RNAcentral. Lineage: Eukaryota; Metazoa; Chordata; Mammalia; Carnivora; Felidae.